Spinacia oleracea (spinach) is the source of this 1363-nucleotide long non-coding RNA. RefSeq lists it as uncharacterized. The record is from RefSeq and is a predicted model, not a curated record. The transcript is spliced from 4 exons. Lineage: Eukaryota; Viridiplantae; Streptophyta; Magnoliopsida; Caryophyllales; Amaranthaceae.
UAUCGUUAAAAUGUAAAUUUGUCUAAUGGAGCGCGGGUCAUCUAAUGAUUUCAAAUAAAAAAUUGAACCUAGUUCCUGAAAAAAAACAUUCGUUGUUAAUGCUCAGAUCUUAGCUUUUAAUUGCAGGAUUUUGAGCCAAUUCUCCAAAACCUAGGAAUUUGGCAAUUCGGCAACGAUGGCAACAGGCCACACGUCCCACACCGAUAAGGGCACCAGCACGGCCGUGGCGGCGGCUCGACUAGUUGGCACUGCCGCUACAAGGACCAUCAUCGGGGUAGCAGAAACAAGCAACCGUUUUGGAUGAGCAUUUGUGCCUGGACAGAGGUAGCAGGUGCCUGUGUGCGACAUUGUGCAAGUUUGUUAGGAUGUGAGUGCAAGACUGAUGUAGGUUGGAUUUAUACAGCAUGCCAGAGUCAGGUUAUUGGCUUAUAGCUAAUCCGGGGUGCAGAUGUUGGACUGAAAUUAAUUUAUUCCCAAGGAAUUCCAUUACAAUUAUGCUGUUCAAUUUUUCUAUUUUUUUAUUAGACACAAGAAGGUGCAUGCACAUCUGUAUAACUUGGUGCAAACUUGUGUCCUAUGUUGGUUGGAACAUAAGUCAGAGCCAUAAUUGGAGCUACUUUAACAACUAUCGCUUUACGCAUUGACUGAGAAGCAGGAAUUCUGAAGAUCGACAAACCAGCUAAGUGUCUUCUUUGUCUUCUGUUUUUUUUUCUUUAAGGGUACUGAAACGUUCAACCGUGGGAAAGGAGAGUCCUAGUACUCGUCUUUUAUUUGUUUAUGGAUGGUUCUACCGGAAUGGAGGAUAAGAUCGUGGAUUGAGUUUGACUGUAUAGGCUGGAUUUAAAUGAUUGGGUUACAAGUUGAAUAAUAUCUAAAUGUUGAUCAUUGUUGUACUUUUAGGGAGAUGCUGUCGAAAUUUUGAACAACUUGUUAAUUAAUUUCUGUUGUGUUCAGAACUUGUAGAAAUGUAAAGUAGACUAAACUAGUGUCCAGAGUACUGUAUACCUGUAUCUGACAUUCAUGGAUUUUUUGCUGGAAUCAUCCCAAUAAUUUUAGUUUUAUGUGGAGUUUGAGUUUUCUAAUUUUAUUUCUUUUCCUUUAACUUUUUUUGUAGGUGUUUGAAGAAGGGAAAACUUCUACUCCAGCUAUUCGAUGCACUUUUUCUUAUUUGUCAAAGAACAAAAAUAUUAGAAUUAAACUAGGAACUUGGAUUUAGUUAGUUAUCAUGUUUUUGUUUAUUAGUUCUUAUAAGAUUUUUUGUAUUUUCCAUUUAUGGAAUAUUGUGUAUUUUAUACUUUGGAGAUUAACUAUAAUUUUACACUAAUUUUAUAUGAUUUUCAAUGUGUCUUAUUCAUUUCUAAUA